UACGUAGGGUGCGAGCGUUGUCCGGAAUUACUGGGCGUAAAGAGCUCGUAGGUGGUUUGUCGCGUUGUUCGUGAAAACUCACAGCUUAACUGUGGGCGUGCGGGCGAUACGGGCAGACUUGAGUACUGCAGGGGAGACUGGAAUUCCUGGUGUAGCGGUAGAAUGCGCAGAUAUCAGGAGGAACACCGGUGGCGAAGGCGGGUCUCUGGGCAGUAACUGACGCUGAGGAGCGAAAGCGUGGGGAGCGAACAGG
Molecule: ribosomal RNA, 253 nt
Filed under: uncultured bacterium
Lineage: Bacteria
Description: partial 16S ribosomal RNA
Rfam family: Bacterial small subunit ribosomal RNA
Source: RNAcentral